CCCAUGCGCGUCUUUCCGAUUGGGCCCAUGCACCGCUCUUUAGCUCCUGCCUUAUCACCUGCCUUAUCCCCUGGCCGUUCCUCAGCCACAUGUUUUCAAGUCUCUCUUCGUCUCUCAUCUCUCUGUUCUCAGAUCUUUGAUCUCUCUUCUCCCGGUGGUUUCGCACAUGGCCGCCGCCCCGGCACCUAGGACUUAAACCGGUGUAGACCACCACACGCCAUUGUUGCCUUCUCACCUAGGCCGCCUCCCACUACGCCCCAUCACGUUUCCAUGUCGAAGAGCUUGAAAUGUCGUGGUGGAAGGAAGGGGCUUCGCCGGUGGGGAUGCUACGAGGCGACACCUCUUCCUCCCGUGGCGAGGCGUCCCCUUCUCCUCCUGCAGCGAGGCUGGUCAAGCUCCUCCCCAAGCGAGGCCGUCCCUGCUUCUCCCCCCCCCCUCCAUAUUGCGGGGAGGGGAAGGUGCUACCAGCCUAUAUCCUGCUAAUGUUGUUUUAUUUAAUUAAUUUUGGUGAGAAAGUUAUUCGUUAUUGUUGUAAAGUACUACAUCAUUUUGUUGUGAAGAUUUCUAGCAAGCUAAACUGUGAACGUGUUGGAUUUUUGUUGUAAAUACCGAUUCUCUUUUGUUGUUGUUUUUAUGGAUGGAUAUUAUUGUAAAAGUAUCAGUAAUUUGAAAGAUUUUUUUAGAAAUCAGCUGCAAAUAAAUUUUCCAGGGGAAAUAUUUUUAAAUGUUGUAAUCGUCAUUAUUUUCUGUGGGAAACGGUUGUGAUUAUUGUUGUAAAUGUCUCUAUAUUGUGAUGCAAACAGAUUUUCUCAGACUAGGGAAACGUUGAUUUUGUUAAUUAUUUUUUGUUGUAAAUGAUGGUGGUUAAUGUUGUAAAUAACUAUAUAAUAUGGUGCAAAGAAAAAUUUCAGAUUGGGUUAAUGUUGUUUUGUUAGUAAUUUUUGUUGUAAAAGAUGGUGGUUAAAUUUGCAAAUGACUAUUAUUUAAAAUUUGUAAUGCGACAUUGAUUUUUGUCUACACCUGCGUUGUGGUCGGUUUUUGCUGCAAGGUAUGCGAGUUGUUUAUUCGGAAGAUGCGGGAAGGAGAGCAGAGUGGACAACGCCUUUUCCGGGGAGAGCAUGUGGGUGACGUCAGGGGAAAGCGACAUUUACUGGCCGGGACCAUCCAACGGCCUCAGCUGUGUCAUCCAACGGCGCGCGCACGACCGAUUUUACCCCCAAAUCGGUCGGCCGACGCCUAGCGCUCCCCUUACUAAAAGCUUUGAAUGCAGAAGACUAGCAAGCGUUUUGAGCAGCUGUUUGAUUAUCUCAAUCACUAUCAGAGAAGACUAGGGGUAACUUAAGAAGAAAUAAUAGAUUUGGAAUUCACCAAGUGACAAUAUGUCUGAUUUGCAUGUAAGGUAUGUCCGCAAGUAUUUCUGGGCACAUGCAUGUAGUUUGGAGUUUCGACAACCUGAAAAAACAUACAUUCCAAAAAUAUGAUAUGUGAGAAUCGGAGCCUAGCCUAUCACUUAUGUAUUGGCCGAUAUAUUUUACUUGGCCUAAAAAUGCAAAAAUAGCUUCGUAGUAACAUUGUUACCUCUGAAAUUGUUUACCGUUUGAAAAUCUUAAAUUAUAUAUGCAUUUUCCUGAAAAUGAAAUAAAGUAGGCCAUUCUUUUAGCUUCACAUUAUUUUUGGGGCUGUUGCCUUCAACGAAAAUAUAUAAUUGAUAGUGUUUUACUGCCAUAUGUUUAUAGUUUUAACAAAGAGAAUGAAAUUAGUCAUAUUUUUUUGGUUUUACUUUUCAAAGGAGAGGAUGAAGCACUGGUAUACUGAUCAUCAUACUGAAAGUGCAUGGAGCCCCCAUGUGUGGUUUUGGUAAUUGAUGACAAUCCCUAUGGACUAAUGUUUGCAUUGAGUUAUAUUUGUAGGAGUUGUUCAUAGGCAAUGCUUGGACCAUAUGUUGGCUUCAAGAUUGCAAUAAGAAGCAAAUGAAGAAUAUCAAGUGUCAAGUAUGUCUUGAAGGUGAAGAUGAAGUGAGCUAUCAAGGUUAACUUCAAGACAUCAACAAAAUGAAGUGCAAGUUCAAGAUGAGCCAACUUGAAGAGAUCAUAUGCUUGAAGGCAAUGCUUAAACCGUAUGUUGGCUUCAAGAUUGCAAUAAGAAGCAAAUGAAGAAGAUCAAGUAUCAAGUAUGUCUUGAAAAUGAAGAUGAAGCGAGUUCUCAAGGUUAACUUCAAGACAUCAAUGAAAUAUUGUGCAAGUUCAAGAUGAGCCAUCUCGAAGAGAUUCUUUGCUUGACUCUUGUCAUCCAUAUGGUGAUCAUGGAUAUGUGAAGAUGCGCCGAAGAAGAAGCUCUCCCAUGGUGGAUUAUGGGGGAGCAAUCCAUAUGGUGAUCAUGGAUAUGUGAAGAUGCGCCGAAGAAGAAGCUCUCCCUUGAUGGAUUAUGGGGGAGCAAUCCACAAGACUUCGUCAAACAAGCACAAUCAAGAAAGGCGUUCCAUCUUGUUGCGGUCAAGAUCGUCAUCAUCGAGCUCAAGUGGAAUACGCAAGUAUAAGGUUUGCUCUUGAUAGGGUUUCUUUCUCACCGGUCUCAUAGUGUAGUUGGAGACCGGUUUAUAGUUUAGUUGCCGUUCUAUCAAGAGGGCUCUCGAGUGAGUAACUCGAUCGUAUCCUUCGGAGAGCUCAAACCUUUGCAUCCUUGCAUCAUCUUUCUUGGUUGUUAUUUGGAUCUUAUCCAUGUGAUGUUUUAGAGCUUGUACUUAUUCUCAUGACAAGCUCUAGUUCAUCAAGAAUAGUUUUUGCACGGGCAACUUGUUGCAUUUUCAAGGUUGGAGGCUUUACGGGUAUGUCUUUUUUAGAUAGGUCAAACCUUUCGUCAUUUGUUUCUAUCCUCCCUUGCUGGACUAUGAUGGUUCCCUGCAUGAUCUUGUAGAGCUUGUUACUAGCUUCGAAACGAGCCCAAGAUCAUCAAAAUCGGAGUCCGGAUGCUCAAGUUAUGCUCAUUCUCGUUUUAAUGUUUCUGCCAGUUUUUUUGGGGGGCGGAUAAUCCGGUCCGAAUGGAAAUUCCGGUCAAAUAUCCGGCCCGAGUCCAGGGGCGAUUUUCGGGGGGCGGAUAAUCCGGCCCGGGGGCGGAUUUUCCGGCCUGGGAGGCCCCAAACGGUCAUAUUUCAUUGGGAGGGGGUAUAUAAGACCCGCUUCUUCCUCCUUGGGCUGGGGGGUUUCACUCUCUCUCUUUCUCCCUCCAUUGUUGUCCUUCAAAGCUUGCCCUAGUUCUUGAUUCCUCCAAUGAUUCUUGCAUAUUCUUGAGGGAAAAGAGAGAGAAGAUCUAGAUCUACAUCUUCACCAAUCAAAUCCCUCUUUUUGUGAGGGGAACCCACUAGAUCUUGAUCUUGGAGGAUUUUGUGUUCUCCUCUUUGUUCUUCCUCUCUUAUUCCCCCAAUAGCUUUUGUAUCUUUGUUGGAAUUUGAGAGAGAAGGAUUUGAGCAUCUUUGUGGUGUUCUUGCCAUUGCAUUUGGUGCAUAGGUUUGAGUUCUCCACGGUGGUUCGUGGUGGUGAAAGCAAGAAGGUUGUUACUCUUGGGUUCUUGGAACCCUAGACGGAUUCUAGGCCUUUGUGGCGGUUUGUUGGGAGCCUCCAAUUAAGUUGUGGAUGUGUGCCCCAAUCUUUGUGUAAGGUCCGGUUUCCGCCUCGAAGGAAAUCCCUUAGUGGAACCGUGACCUAGGCCUUUGUGGCGAGGGUCACCAGAGAUUUAGGCGAGGCGCCUUCGUGGCGUUCGGUGUGUGUGGUGUGAGUACCGCAUCUUGGGGUGAGGCCUUUGUGGCGUUGGUGUGCAUUGAGCAACCACAUCUCAAGGUGAACCUCUUGUGGUGUUCAGGAGCACUAAGCCACCGCACCUCUCCACCGGAGAUUAGCACUCGCAAGAGUGUGAACUUCAGGAUAAA
Long non-coding RNA from Lolium perenne, 3922 nucleotides. RefSeq lists it as uncharacterized. Lineage: Eukaryota; Viridiplantae; Streptophyta; Magnoliopsida; Poales; Poaceae. The record is from RefSeq and is a predicted model, not a curated record.